RNAcentral lists this ribosomal RNA (2172 nucleotides) under Salmonella enterica subsp. enterica serovar Poona. RNAcentral's name for it is "partial 23S ribosomal RNA". It matches the Rfam family "Bacterial large subunit ribosomal RNA", at positions 646 to 2802 of the family's 2925-position model. Lineage: Bacteria; Pseudomonadati; Pseudomonadota; Gammaproteobacteria; Enterobacterales; Enterobacteriaceae. The record is from RNAcentral.
UUAACCGUAUAGGGGAGCCGCAGGGAAACCGAGUCUUAACCGGGCGUUAAGUUGCAGGGUAUAGACCCGAAACCCGGUGAUCUAGCCAUGGGCAGGUUGAAGGUUGGGUAACACUAACUGGAGGACCGAACCGACUAAUGUUGAAAAAUUAGCGGAUGACCUGUGGCUGGGGGUGAAAGGCCAAUCAAACCGGGAGAUAGCUGGUUCUCCCCGAAAGCUAUUUAGGUAGCGCCUCGUGAACUCAUCUCCGGGGGUAGAGCACUGUUUCGGCUAGGGGGCCAUCCCGGCUUACCAACCCGAUGCAAACUGCGAAUACCGGAGAAUGUUAUCACGGGAGACACACGGCGGGUGCUAACGUCCGUCGUGAAGAGGGAAACAACCCAGACCGCCAGCUAAGGUCCCAAAGUCAUGGUUAAGUGGGAAACGAUGUGGGAAGGCCCAGACAGCCAGGAUGUUGGCUUAGAAGCAGCCAUCAUUUAAAGAAAGCGUAAUAGCUCACUGGUCGAGUCGGCCUGCGCGGAAGAUGUAACGGGGCUAAACCAUGCACCGAAGCUGCGGCAGCGACACUAUGUGUUGUUGGGUAGGGGAGCGUUCUGUAAGCCUGUGAAGGUGGCCUGUGAGGGUUGCUGGAGGUAUCAGAAGUGCGAAUGCUGACAUAAGUAACGAUAAAGCGGGUGAAAAGCCCGCUCGCCGGAAGACCAAGGGUUCCUGUCCAACGUUAAUCGGGGCAGGGUGAGUCGACCCCUAAGGCGAGGCCGAAAGGCGUAGUCGAUGGGAAACGGGUUAAUAUUCCCGUACUUGGUGUUACUGCGAAGGGGGGACGGAGAAGGCUAUGUUGGCCGGGCGACGGUUGUCCCGGUUUAAGCGUGUAGGUGUGUGUUCCAGGUAAAUCCGGUUCACUUUAACACUGAGGCGUGAUGACGAGGCACUACGGUGCUGAAGCAACAAAUGCCCUGCUUCCAGGAAAAGCCUCUAAGCAUCAGGUAACAUCAAAUCGUACCCCAAACCGACACAGGUGGUCAGGUAGAGAAUACCAAGGCGCUUGAGAGAACUCGGGUGAAGGAACUAGGCAAAAUGGUGCCGUAACUUCGGGAGAAGGCACGCUGACAUGUAGGUGAAGUGAUUUACUCAUGGAGCUGAAGUCAGUCGAAGAUACCAGCUGGCUGCAACUGUUUAUUAAAAACACAGCACUGUGCAAACACGAAAGUGGACGUAUACGGUGUGACGCCUGCCCGGUGCCGGAAGGUUAAUUGAUGGGGUCAGCGCAAGCGAAGCUCCUGAUCGAAGCCCCGGUAAACGGCGGCCGUAACUAUAACGGUCCUAAGGUAGCGAAAUUCCUUGUCGGGUAAGUUCCGACCUGCACGAAUGGCGUAAUGAUGGCCAGGCUGUCUCCACCCGAGACUCAGUGAAAUUGAACUCGCUGUGAAGAUGCAGUGUACCCGCGGCAAGACGGAAAGACCCCGUGAACCUUUACUAUAGCUUGACACUGAACAUUGAGCCUUGAUGUGUAGGAUAGGUGGGAGGCUUUGAAGUGUGGACGCCAGUCUGCAUGGAGCCGACCUUGAAAUACCACCCUUUAAUGUUUGAUGUUCUAACGUGGACCCGUAAUCCGGGUUGCGGACAGUGUCUGGUGGGUAGUUUGACUGGGGCGGUCUCCUCCUAAAGAGUAACGGAGGAGCACGAAGGUUGGCUAAUCCUGGUCGGACAUCAGGAGGUUAGUGCAAUGGCAUAAGCCAGCUUGACUGCGAGCGUGACGGCGCGAGCAGGUGCGAAAGCAGGUCAUAGUGAUCCGGUGGUUCUGAAUGGAAGGGCCAUCGCUCAACGGAUAAAAGGUACUCCGGGGAUAACAGGCUGAUACCGCCCAAGAGUUCAUAUCGACGGCGGUGUUUGGCACCUCGAUGUCGGCUCAUCACAUCCUGGGGCUGAAGUAGGUCCCAAGGGUAUGGCUGUUCGCCAUUUAAAGUGGUACGCGAGCUGGGUUUAGAACGUCGUGAGACAGUUCGGUCCCUAUCUGCCGUGGGCGCUGGAGAACUGAGGGGGGCUGCUCCUAGUACGAGAGGACCGGAGUGGACGCAUCACUGGUGUUCGGGUUGUCAUGCCAAUGGCACUGCCCGGUAGCUAAAUGCGGAAGAGAUAAGUGCUGAAAGCAUCUAAGCACGAAACUUGCCCCGA